GUAGGUGGCAAGCGUUGUCCGGAAUUAUUGGGCGUAAAGCGCGCGCAGGCGGUUCUUUAAGUCUGAUGUGAAAGCCCACGGCUCAACCGUGGAGGGUCAUUGGAAACUGGAGGACUUGAGUACAGAAGAGGAAAGCGGAAUUCCACGUGUAGCGGUGAAAUGCGUAGAGAUGUGGAGGAACACCAGUGGCGAAGGCGGCUUUCUGGUCUGUAACUGACGCUGAGGCGCGAAAGCGUGGGGGAGCAAACAGGAUUAGAUACCCUGGUAGUCCACGCCGUAAACGAUGAGUGCUAAGUGUUAGGGGGUUUCCGCCCCUUAGUGCUGCAGCUAACGCAUUAAGCACUCCGCCUGGGAGUACGGCCGCAAGGCUG
Molecule: ribosomal RNA, 371 nt
Filed under: uncultured organism
Description: partial 16S ribosomal RNA
Rfam family: Bacterial small subunit ribosomal RNA
Source: RNAcentral